RNAcentral lists this ribosomal RNA (2091 nucleotides) under Triticum aestivum (bread wheat). RNAcentral's name for it is "partial small subunit ribosomal RNA". Lineage: Eukaryota; Viridiplantae; Streptophyta; Magnoliopsida; Poales; Poaceae. The record is from RNAcentral.
AUGGUUAGGCCUGUACUGUGUCUGAAUAAGAUGGAUGAAUUAUUUCCUGGGCUUCAAGGUGAAGUUGUGAAGCAUAAAUUUACAGGUGAGCAAACAUACCAGAUUCUGAACAAUGUCAUUCAGAAUGCCAAUGCCACUAUGGCAACACAUGGAGAUGCCCGCCUUGGAGAUGUCCAGUUCUACCCGGAGAAGGGAAAUGUGGCAUUCUCUGCUGGAUUACACGGCUGGGCUUUUACACUGACUAGCUUUGCUAAGGUGUAUGCUCCGAAGGUGGGUGUGGAAGAAUCUUAUAUGGUUAAGAAGCUUUGGGGCGACAACUUUUAUGACCACACCACAAGGAAAUGGACCAAGGAGAAGACCCGUUCCAAAACUUGUAAAAGAGGAUUUGUCAUGUUCAUCUAUGAUCAAAUCGAAAGAGUGAUCCAAGCCUGCAUGGAGAACCAGAAAGAUGAAUUGCGGAGAAUGUUGCAGAAGGUUGGGGUGAACUUGAUGGAUGAUGAGAAGAACCUAACAGGCAUGGCUCUUGUGAAGUGUGUCAUGAAAACUUGGCUCCCAGCCAGUACUGCUCUGCUUGAGAUGAUGAUCUGCCACCUCCCCUCUCCGUUAGAAGCACAGAAAUAUCGUGUGGAGAACCUGUAUGAGGGCCCCCUUGAUGAUAAAUACGCAGAAGCUAUUAAAAAAUGUGACCCUGAAGGUCCUCUUAUGCUGUACGUUUCCAAGAUGGUCCCAGCAUCUGACGUGGGCAGAUUUUUUGCGUUUGGUCGUGUCUUCUCUGGAAGGAUUGCAACUGGCAUGAAGGUCCGGGUCAUGGGGCCUUCCUAUGUCCCCGGCAUGGGAACUGAUUUGAACGUGGAGUCUGUCCAGCGUACCAUUAUAUGGAUGGGAAAGAAGCAAUGUGACGUUCCGGAUGUUCCUUGCGGUAACACUGUUGGUUUGAUUGGUCUGGAUGCAUGUAUAAUAAAGAGUGCUACCCUGACAAGCGAAAAGGAGGUUGUUGCACGCCCAAUCAGAGCGAUGAAGUUCUCUGUAUGCCCUCUGAUGUUUGUUACAGUUAACUGCAAGGUUCCGACCGAUGUUCCCAAACUUGUACAAGGUUUGAAGCGUCUGGCGAUGUCUGACCCCGUGGUUCUGUGCAGCCAGGUAGAGCCUGGUACCUAUACGGUUGCUGGAGUGGGAGAGCUUCAUCUGGAAAUUUGCUUGAAAGAUCUACAGGAAAACUUUAUGGAUGGUGUUGAAGUUGCUGUUUCCAGUCCGCCUGUUGUUUCCUUCCGUGAGACUGUCCGCAAGUCUUGUGAUCCUGUUGAGAAAAAGUUCAGAAACAAUCAAAUUCGAUACAGCUUGUCUGUGGUAGCCCGCCCCUUGGAUGAAAAAGUAGUCGAGGCUAUUGAGGAUGGUCGCUUGGGUCCACGUACUGACCAUGCGGUACGAUCUGAGAUCCUUGCUAAGCAUGGUUGGGAUAAGGAUCUUGGCGAUAAGAUUUGGUGCUUUGGUCCUGAUGCUGUUGGCCCCAAUGUGAUUGUUAAUAGGUGCAAGGUAAUACAGAAUCUGGAGUUAGCGAAGAAAGUUAUCGUGGCUGGCUUCGAGGUGGUGGCAAAAGAAGGCGCAUUGGCAAAAGAAAGGAUGCAUGGCAUAUGCUUUGAGGUUCAUAAUGUUAUUAUACAUGCUGAUGAAGCAUUGAGAGGUACAACUGCUCAGCUCAAUGAGAUGGUUAGGACAGCACUUAUUGAGUCUCAGCUCGCUGCCAAGCCAAGGCUUCUCGAACCCACCUACACUGUGGCGAUCCAGUGCCCUAAGAGUGCCCUCAGCACUAUCUACGGAAUUCUCCACCAGAGGAAUGGUGCUGUGUAUGAGGAGUUUGUGAGAGAAGGCACGAUGCUACACAUCCUGAAGGCUUACGUUCCAGUUUAUGAUUCCUUUGGCCUCUCCAAGGCAAUCAGUGCUGCAACAUCUAAGCUGGUCACCCCGCAGUGUAUUUUUGGAUAUUGGAGCGACAUGUGCUCUGAUCCUUUCCAGGCAAAUGCGCCAGCUGGGCAAAUGGUCUUGGAUAUCCGCGAGAGGAAGAAGAUGGGCAGGCCCUCUUUCCAGAAGUAG